GUCAUUUUAGACCUCAAAAAGAACAUUCCAUCAAGGGAUCAGGUUCUAUCAUCUCACUGGAAUGCAAUUUAAGACAUCAUCUCCAGAAAACUGUGCUAGUUGGCAUCCAGCAGUGCCCAAGUAUUAUUUAACCCACUAGAACCUGUGACUGCAUCAGCUUUAUAUCCUGGACCUCAGCCUGGAACAAAGGAGAGCUACACUUGGAUACUAAACACAAGUGGUCUGGAUAGAUUAUGCUGGGAAAAGAAGCCUGGAGCAGGCAGUACAGUGGGAGAACAAGGAGAGAAUGGAGUUGCAGCAGACUGCUCAGGAAUUGUACAUCACCAGUAGCUUCUGUCUCAGCUAAGUGUGGGAGACUGAUACUGAUGAGCCAUUAACAAUGGUGGAGAUUCUGAAUCACUGAAGCACUUGAUAAAAGAAAUGUCGUGGGUGAUGUGAAAAUCUACAUAUGCCCAUGAGAGUAUAUUGAGUUUACAGAAGUGCUUGCCUUGGUGAUCCAAAAAAGGCAGGAUCCGGCCGGGGGCAAGGUGAUUAUUCUGUCUGAUGAGGAGAAUAAGAGCCAGUUUGUGGUAUUGACAGAAGAAUGAAAGUAAAGUCUUGAAAGAUGGGAAGAUCAGGAGCAGUCUGGAGUCAUGGUAUAUGAAUGAACUAGUGAGAGUGGGCACAAAGUCUGAAGAUCUUUGUAGUGCAGCUAAUGUCUAAGGGAGAAUAUACCUACCCUAGAAGAGACAUUAAACAACCAGGCCCCCAAAAGAUGAACUCCAAUCUGCUGCCCCUAAACGCAUUCUCCACUGUCUGGAAGAUGUGCAAAGGCAACGGCACAGCGUUCUCCAUCUCAAAUCCUUCAAAGUGCUGUCAGAAUAAAAGAAUCCCCACCAAAA
This 881-nucleotide long non-coding RNA is filed under the name Homo sapiens (human). RNAcentral's name for it is "long intergenic non-protein coding RNA 1013". The record is from RNAcentral. Lineage: Eukaryota; Metazoa; Chordata; Mammalia; Primates; Hominidae.